RNAcentral lists this long non-coding RNA (409 nucleotides) under Amphimedon queenslandica. RNAcentral's name for it is "uncharacterized LOC109588836". Lineage: Eukaryota; Metazoa; Porifera; Demospongiae; Haplosclerida; Niphatidae. The record is from RNAcentral.
AAUUUUGCUUCCAGGAGCCAGGGCGCUUGCCCCUCCAUUGCUAUGAAGACGGAAGUGUAUUCACCUGAGUCCUAUGACUAAUGUCUAUCAUCAGACUUAGUCUCAGUUCAUCAGGACAAGGAUGGCUCUUUUAUGGAUAGUCGAGGGAUGCAAGAACUCUCUGGCUCUCAUUCUUUAUCUGUAAAUUCACUGGUUGUACUGUAGGAGCAUUUAAUGUGAUAUUAAAGUCUGUGUCACUAUCCAAUACUUGCAGAGAAGAAUCAUCACAUUUAGUACUCGUUUGUGGCUUGUCACCAUUUGUAUCCUCUCUUGACAGUUUUAUUUGAUAUUUAUAAUUAUCAAAAACAUAAUUGGCAUUGUUGCUACAGUUAUUAUUGUUUUUAUCACUACAUUACAUUUGUAUACAUGA